RNAcentral lists this transfer RNA (76 nucleotides) under candidate division WWE3 bacterium RBG_16_37_10. RNAcentral describes it as "tRNA-Met". Lineage: Bacteria; candidate division WWE3. The record is from RNAcentral.
GCCAACGUAGCUCAGGGGUUAGAGCGGGCGUUUCAUAAGCGCUAGGCCGGUGGUCCGAGUCCACCCGUUGGCACCA